CUUGGUGUAUAUGGCGCAAAGGGUACACCUGUUCCCAUUCCGAACACAGAAGUUAAGCUUUGUCGCGUCGAUGGUACUUCGUGACUACACGUGGAAGAGUAGAUAUAUGCCAAGA
RNAcentral lists this ribosomal RNA (115 nucleotides) under Candidatus Altimarinota bacterium. Lineage: Bacteria; Candidatus Altimarinota. The record is from RNAcentral.